RNAcentral lists this ribosomal RNA (235 nucleotides) under uncultured bacterium. RNAcentral's name for it is "partial 16S ribosomal RNA". It matches the Rfam family "Bacterial small subunit ribosomal RNA", at positions 103 to 339 of the family's 1533-position model. The record is from RNAcentral.
CGGGUGAGUAAUACAUGGGAACGUGCCUUUUGGUUGGGAAUAACCACGGGAAACUGUGGCUAAUACCGAAUGGCCUCUACGGAGUAAAGGGAGCCUCUGCUUGCAUGCUUUCGCCAAGAGAUCGGCCCAUGUCCCAUUAGCUAGUUGGCAGGGUAAAAGCCUACCAAGGCGAUGAUGGGUAGCUGGUUUGAGAGAAUGAUCAGCCACACUGGAACUGAGAUACGGUCCAGACUCC